Molecule: ribosomal RNA, 406 nt
Filed under: uncultured bacterium
Lineage: Bacteria
Description: bacterial SSU rRNA
Rfam family: Bacterial small subunit ribosomal RNA
Source: RNAcentral
GUGGGGGAUAUUGCACAAUGGGGGAAACCCUGAUGCAGCGACGCCGCGUGAAGGAAGAAGUAUCUCGGUAUGUAAACUUCUAUCAGCAGGGAAGAAAAUGACGGUACCUGACCAAGAAGCCCCGGCUAACUACGUGCCAGCAGCCGCGGUAAUACGUAGGGGGCAAGCGUUAUCCGGAUUUACUGGGUGUAAAGGGAGCGUAGGCGGCGACGCAAGUCAGAAGUGAAAGCCCGGGGCUCAACUCCGGGACUGCUUUUGAAACUGCGUUGCUAGAUUGCGGGAGAGGCAAGUGGAAUUCCUAGUGUAGCGGUGAAAUGCGUAGAUAUUAGGAGGAACACCAGUGGCGAAGGCGGCUUGCUGGACCGUGAAUGACGCUGAGGCUCGAAAGCGUGGGGAGCAAACAGGA